CAUUUAUGUCUAAACAACUUAUGCGGUUCUUCCUGGAUUUUUAGUUAAGAUAUCCGUGGAAGAAUUUAGAGUUCUCAUCACCAUCAAUGGACCAUUUCAUUCCAAAUUUCUGUCUUAAGUCUAGAACCCUCUUUCUCUCAUACUCCAAUAUUUUUUGUACACCUUCAUUCCUUUCACUGAGUUCAAAUUCACUCAAUGACCUUACUUCUGCCUUAGCUUCUAUACUUUCAAUUCGUGAUUUGAGUGCCUCAAUUUCCUGGUUUUCUAUCUUGUAUUUUUCAUUUCUCCAUCUUCUUAAAGCUUGUUUUAGGAAUUUGAAUUUUGCCAGUAGUUGUCUAUCUGCCAUUCCAUAACCCCUGAAAUUGCUCCAAGUCGUGUGUACUACAUCUUCAAUACCAUCCAUGAGUAACCAAGAGUUAAAAAAUUUAAAAGGAGGCGGGCCAAAUUUCACCACCGCAUUGGAAGAUAGAGAGAUCGGAGAGUGGUCAGAGAGCUCUCUUGGACGGGCAAUCACAGAAGCAUUAGAGUUAUUUUUUAGGUACUUAGCACAAGCCAAAAACCUGUCUAGUCUAAUUUGCUGAGCUUUGCCCCGUUACGCCCAAAGUACAUGAAUUUUGAGCCACCCAUAUUGAAGUCAUGAAGUUUGGUUUGGAUUAUGAAUUUGUUGAAGUAUGUUGCAGUUUUUAAGAAGAAAUGGGAAUUGAGUCUCUCACCUUUUCUAAGAACCACAUUGAAGUCCCCAAAAGGAGUCAUGAACCCACUUUGGUUUGUAUCAAACCGUUUCAUUCCAUCCAUUGGAUAGCUUUAUUCGUCGCCGAUUGAGGACCAUAAAUGUUAGCUAAUAUGGUAUAUCCCUGUAUGCCAACCCAAUCACCAACAAUUAUCAAGUAAUACCUCGAUUUUAAGACCUCCACUUUUUUGAAAAAGUUUGCAUCCUAAAUACAGAGCAGACCAUGAGAUCUUCCAUGUGAAUCUAUACCUUCAUAGUCAAAGUCGGCGGAGUCCCAACACCCACGGAUGUUGAUACAUUUAGAAUCAAACAUCCAAGUUUCUUGAAUUCCGACAAAAUUAAUUUUCAAUGAUUCUUUAAGCCUCCUUACCCAACUUGUUUUCACAUCUUCACCUAUCCCCCUUAUGUUUUAAGUUGAAACAAUUCAUUGUAUAUCGUGUGACUCUCCGAUUUCACCCAUAAUUUGCGCCAAGAUCGGGUUAUCGACCUCAAUUUUGAUCCCAAUCUUUUUACCGACAUCGAUGGUUGCAGUAAACUCGAAGGUGGGAGAUGUAGUUCUAGCUUGUGAUGUAUCAUGGUGGGAGUCUGUAUGAGGGGGAAAUUUGUUUGACGUAGGAAUAAAUAGUGUAGGGGAAAGAAUCGAAGGAGUUGCCAAGGGGGUAGCCACUAUAUGAGGAGGAGUAGGUACAAUCGAAAAAUUUAAGAUGUUCUCUAUUCUUCUACGCUUUAGCCUACCAUCGUUGAUUAGAUUGAAUUCAAGUCUGGGAAAAAGUUGUUUACCUUAUUGAAUGCUCUAAGGGGAUGUCUGGCUUAGCUUUUCAAAGCCUAAAAGUUUUUUUUAGAAAAGUUACAAAAAGUCCGGAUUUCCUAACUUUUCCAAAAAGUUCAUUUUCCUUAUGUAAAAACUUCAAAAGUAGCUUUUAAAACUAGUUUUGCCAGACAUCUUUUGCUAUUUUUUCUUUUCCAAAAAUGACUUUUGGCUGUGAAAACCUAAGCCAAACACCGGUAAAUAUAGAAGGAAAAGGCCCAAAGCAUGAAGUGGGAAACGGAAUGUUCGAAUUGCAGAGCCUAUAAUUAAAUCCCUUAGGCCCACCAGGGAGUGAAUCCCCCAUACCUUUAUGAGCUUUAUCCCCUGUAAAUUGACCAUUGAAGCCGCAGUUAAGAUCCCCGAGUUCCAACUCGAUCUCUUGUGUUUCCGAGGUGAUUGAAUUGAUGAGUGGCGAUACCACUUCCUCCACUGUUACCGGAGCAUCAAUGGUUGGUGCUUCAACUGUCGUCGUCAACACCGUCGCCGGGACUGCCACCUCCGAUUACAGUACCUGCUCGGUAUUUUUCAUUCACCGGUGUAACCUCUUUCUCCGACGAUAGCGGAGUUUCAUUCUCAUUACGUUCAUCUGGUAUAAAUUCCCCAUCUUCUGGUUCGUUAUCGUCUCAAUCAUCCGUCGUGUGUGUAUCUGAGUUGUUAGUCUUUUCUUCACCUCAUGGUACCGGAGGCGAGGCUUUUUUGUUCCAAGAGCCAUACGGGAACGGGCCGGAGCUGAACGGAGACCAUUCGUCGAUGUAUUCCAUGACUCUAAUUUUAAACAUUCUGCCUCCUUCUAUCACAGAUACUUCCUCGUUUAUCCAUACUUUCAAAGUUGUAAGAAUCCCCACCUUACCCAUAGAGUUGUCGGUUUUGUGAAUAAUACUUUCCCAAACUUACUGGAAAUAUCAGAGAAAUUGGAUUCGUCCCAGAACUCUCUUGGUAGGCCAACAAUCUUUAGCCAUGCGAUUCGGUUGAACGAGACCUCCGUUAAGUAAGCUCUUCAUAACCAUUUGAACCAGCCAUCCCAUUUGUUCUUAUCUUCCAAGAACUUUGCAACAUCACCCCGAGUAUUUCAAUUGUAUAACAACCUUUAGUCCUGUUUGUUUACCUUUUAAUUUCAUAAUUAAGAGGCAAUGUCUUAAAAUUUCAGAUUCAGACCGUUUGUUUGCGUAUUAUUUUUUACCUCUUAAAAUGAAAAAUACCUCUUAUUUAUUCAGAGAAUAAACCAAGUCUGAAAAAAAAAGAGACAUGCUUCCUUUUUUCCCUAUUUUCCCUAAACAGAUCGAUGCCUCUUAUUUUUCCACCCUUGCGUCUUCUUGCUUCGCGUCGUUACUCCUCAGCAUCGGACGACGCCAGGUCGCUGCCACCCUAAUCGCCGACGACACUGCACCCAACAAUGUCGCCUUCCUCUUCCGCCGCAAGGUCUGCCAUCUCUGUCUCGUUCUUCCGACCGCAGUAGCCAACCGCAACAGCCAACAGCAAGAUUGGGCGUUGAUUGAUGACUAUCGCUGAUAAACGGAUCGAGUUAUGCAUAAAUCUGAGUAUGUUUGCUUGAAUCGAAGAAAUGGGAGAAAGGAAGAGAACAUAUUUUCCCAAUGUUACAAUUGAAGGGGGUAAUGAGAAUGCAUUGGCGUUGGAAUGGAAUGGAAUUCCACUUGUGAAGAGUUUCUGUUUGUAUGUAAUUAGAUGCAUGGCUAGAUAGAAUUAUAGAUUUGUACAUAAAUGAAUAAUUAAUUAUUCAUACAUUUAAGUUUUAUUUGGAUUGUUGUUUAAUUUUGAUUUAUUUAA
Lactuca sativa (garden lettuce) is the source of this 3323-nucleotide long non-coding RNA. RefSeq lists it as uncharacterized. Lineage: Eukaryota; Viridiplantae; Streptophyta; Magnoliopsida; Asterales; Asteraceae. The record is from RefSeq and is a predicted model, not a curated record.